Molecule: unclassified non-coding RNA, 337 nt
Filed under: uncultured fungus
Lineage: Eukaryota; Fungi
Also listed under: 1 other name
Description: partial contains 5.8S ribosomal RNA, internal transcribed spacer 2, and large subunit ribosomal RNA
Source: RNAcentral
AACGCACCUUGCGCUCUCUAGUUAUUCUGGAGAGCAUGCUUGUUUGAGUAUCGCGAACCUCUCAACCCCGCCAAAGGCUUUAUUGACUUUGGUUGUUUGGGCUUGGAUCAUGGUUGUUGUUGGCCUUUGGGUCUAACUCGACUGAAAUACAACAAGUUGAAUAGAAUUUAUUGCGGCUUGACCUGAUGUUGUAAACUACUCAUCGGGGACGCUUUAAAAAGUCUAAGGAACUUUAACAGAAACCCUUUUGCUCUAGUCGAGGAUCACUCUUUCGGGAGCCCUUACACUUUAGUACAUUUAUGAUCUCAAAUCAAGUAGGACUACCCGCUGAACUUAA